AAGCCAGACUCCUACGGGAGGCAGCAGUAGGGAAUCUUCGGCAAUGGACGAAAGUCUGACCGAGCAACGCCGCGUGAGUGAAGAAGGUUUUCGGAUCGUAAAACUCUGUUGGUAGAGAAGAACGUUGGUGAGAGUGGAAAGCUCAUCAAGUGACGGUAACUACCCAGAAAGGGACGGCUAACUACGUGCCAGCAGCCGCGGUAAUACGUAGGUCCCGAGCGUUGUCCGGAUUUAUUGGGCGUAAAGCGAGCGCAGGUGGUUUAUUAAGUCUGGUGUAAAAGGCGGUGGCUCAACCAUGGUAUGCAUUGGAAACUGGUAGACUUGAGUACCGGAGAGGUCAUCGGAAUUCCUUGUGUAGCGGUGAAAUGCGUAGAUAUAAGGAGGAACACCGGCGGCGAAGGCGGCCUGCUGGACCGCGACCGACGUUGAGGCUCGAAAGCGUGGGGAGCAAACAGGAUUAGAUACCCGGGUAA
RNAcentral lists this ribosomal RNA (473 nucleotides) under uncultured bacterium. RNAcentral's name for it is "bacterial SSU rRNA". It matches the Rfam family "Bacterial small subunit ribosomal RNA", at positions 328 to 793 of the family's 1533-position model. The record is from RNAcentral.